UGUAUAUCCAUUUCACCUAAAACCUCUUCUUAAUCCCCCAUAAAAGCCCCAAAUCCUUCCCCUCAUGAGAUUAGAGCUAAGAUUGGAGAGCUUGGAGGUCAAAGAUAGGAUUGCUUCCACACAUGCCGAUAGAUUGUUUUGAAGAACCAUGAGUUAUAUUUAGAGGGAAAGAUGGGAAACCUGGAUGCUUGCAAAAUACAUGUGCUCAUAGAGCCUGCACACUCCAUCUCGGGUCAGUGAAUGAAGGAAGAAUCCAAUGCCCUUAUCAUGAUGAGAGAAGUUCCUGAUAAGUCAUGGAAUGAUAUUCCUAUAUUGAAAAGAAGAGCGAAAGGUGAUACUCGAUAUCAAGACGGAUGAGAAGCAUUCCUUGAAUAUGCAUAUGCUAAUCCGAGGAAGAUAGAGAACGAGGACUCUUGUUCAGCUUGCUCUUGAUGAAAACUCGGAUGAUACUGAUGACCCAAAUGAGGCUGAAGGAGAAAUUUUUCUUAAUUACUCAUACCCUCAGAAUGUCAAUUUUAAUAUGUAUACUUCACAAAUUCGACUUGAUAUUUGUAAUGUAGGAGAUUGAAUACAAAGAUCCUUAUGCAAAUUCGACUUGAUAUCUGUAA
Long non-coding RNA from Asparagus officinalis (garden asparagus), 608 nucleotides. RefSeq lists it as uncharacterized. The record is from RefSeq and is a predicted model, not a curated record. The transcript is spliced from 3 exons. Lineage: Eukaryota; Viridiplantae; Streptophyta; Magnoliopsida; Asparagales; Asparagaceae.